This 492-nucleotide ribosomal RNA is filed under the name uncultured bacterium. RNAcentral describes it as "partial 16S ribosomal RNA". The stretch from base 61 to 492 matches the Rfam family "Bacterial small subunit ribosomal RNA", at positions 39 to 507 of the family's 1533-position model. The record is from RNAcentral.
GGGGGGGGGGGGGGGGGGGGGGGGGGGGGGGGGGUGGGGGGGGGGGGGAGUGGGGGCGGGGUGGGAGGGGGGGCGUGUGGCGGACGGGGGAGGAGGACGUAGGCGUCUCCGGUUUUGGGGGGGGUAGCGGUGGGGAAGGGACGAGGAUACGGUAGUCGUACUGCGGGGGUGAGCGUGGGAUCGUGGGACUUUGCGCGAUUGACUAGGCCGCUGUCGGAUUAGCUAGUUUGCGGGGUAAAGGCACACCAAGGCGACGAUCCGUAGCUGGUCUGAGAGGAUGAUCAGCCAAACUGGAACGGAGACACGGUCCAGACUCCUACGGGAGGCAGCAGUGGGGAAUAUUGGACAAUGGGCGCAAGCCUGAUCCAGCCAUACCGCGUGGGUGAAGAAGGCCUUCGGGUUGUAAAGCCCUUUUGUUGGGAAAGAAAAGCAGCAGGUUAAUACCCCGCUGUUCUGACGGUACCCAAAGAAUAAGCACCGGCUAACUUCGUG